RNAcentral lists this ribosomal RNA (2839 nucleotides) under Burkholderia mallei 2002721280. RNAcentral describes it as "23S ribosomal RNA". The record is from RNAcentral. Lineage: Bacteria; Pseudomonadati; Pseudomonadota; Betaproteobacteria; Burkholderiales; Burkholderiaceae.
GCCCGAGGGGCGCUGCAAGACCUUCGACGACGCGGCCGACGGCUUCGUGCCGGGCGAGGGCGUGGGCGCGCUCGUGCUGAAGCGGCUCGCCGACGCCGAGCGCGAUCGCGAUCCGAUCCUCGGCGUGAUCGUCGGCUCGGGCCUGAACCAGGACGGCCGCACGAACGGCAUCACCGCGCCGAGCGGCAGCAGCCAGACCGAGUUGCUGCGCGAUGUCUACCGCCGGCACCGGAUCGAUCCGGCCGGCAUCGGUUACGUCGAGGCGCACGGCACCGGCACGAAGCUCGGCGAUCCGAUCGAGUUGACCGCGCUGUCCGCGGCGUUCGGCGAUUACACCGACCGGCGCGGGUUCUGCGCGCUCGGCUCGGUGAAGACCAACAUCGGGCAUACGUCGGCGGCGGCCGGCGUCGCGAGCAUCCACAAAGUGCUGCUGUGCCUCGCGCAUCGCGAGCUGGUGCCGACGCUGAACUACGCGAACCCGAACCGCCAUUUCGAUUUCGCCGAUUCGCCGUUCUACGUGAACACCGACCGGCGCGCGUGGGACGCCGCCGGCGACGCGCCGCGCCGCGCGGCCGUCAGCUCGUUCGGCUUCAGCGGCACCAACGCGCACGUCGUGAUCGAGGAGUACCGCCCGGCCGCCGCCGCCGCGCCGGACGCGUCGCCGCCGCGCGUGAUCGUGCCGCUCUCGGCGCGGCAUCCGGAGCGGUUGCGCGCCUACGCGCGCAACCUGGCCGACUGGCUCGCGCAGGCGGCCGCGCGCGGCGCGCCGGAGCGGCUCGCCGCGCAUCUCGCGUACACGAUGCAGGUCGGCCGCGACGCGAUGGCCGAACGCGUCGCGUUCGUCGCCGACGGCCGCGACGAACUCGAGCGGCAGUUGCGCCGCUACGCCGACACCGGCGAGACGAGCAACGGCGUGUACGCGGGCCGCGCCGAGCCGCACGCUCAGGCGUCGAACGCGCUGAUGCUCGACGAGGCGUUCGGCGCGGCGAUCGACGGAUGGAUGCGCACGGGCAAGCACGAGCCGCUCGCGAAGCUGUGGGCGGGCGGCUUCGAUCUGGACUGGGCGCGGCUUUACGACGGCGUGCCGGCCGCCGCGAUGCCGCGCCGGAUCGCCGCGCCGACUUAUCCGUUCGCAUCGGGGCGCUACUGGAUCGAUGUCGAACCCGACGGGCGCGCCGCGGGCCCGGAUGCGGACGCCGCUUCGCCCGAGGCCGAUUCCGGCUCCGACUCCGAGCACGCACACGAACAUGAACAUGAACCCGCCGCGACGCUUGCAUACCUGCCCGUCUGGGAGGAACUGCCGCCCGCGCAGCCGCGCGCCGCGCCCGAUGCGCAGGCGGGCGGCGUACUCGUCGUGCAUCGCGGCGGCGCGUGGGGGCUCGUCGACGCGAUCGAGCGCGAGUGCGUGGACGGCCGCCAUGCCGGCGCGACCUGCAUGACGCUCGAUCUGUCCGGGCAUGCGCCGUCGCCGGAGGGCCGCGCGUGGCGCAACGCCGCGCCCGACGCGGCGCGGCUCGCCGCGUGGCUCGGCGAAUUCGGCCCGGUGCGCGCGGUAUUCUUCGCGGCGGGCUGCAGCGAGGCCCGCCACGAUGCGUCGGGCGCGCACGGCUGGGCGAGCGCGCCCGAUGCGCACGGCGAGGACGAGCGCGCGCUGUUGCAGCUCGCGCAGGCGCUGAUGCGCUCGCAGGCGGCCGACGCGUCGAUCGAGUUCGUCGUGCUGUCGCUCGAUCACCAUCGCACCGACGGCACGCCGUCGAAUCCGGCGGGCGGCGGCGUCGCCGGCAUUGCCUACGCGAUCGCGCAGGGCGAUCACCGCUUCCGGGUGACGAACGUCGACGUGUCGCUCGACGAGCUGCGCGCGGCGCGGCAUGCGCCGGCGCCGCAUCCGGUGCUCGCGGCCGUGCUGCGGCUCGCGCCGUCCGAUCGCGGCGCGCUCGUCAGGCUGCGCGCCGGCCGCGGCUACCGGCAGGCGUUCGUGCGGCUCGACUGGGCCGCCGAGGCGGGCGCCUCGGGGCUGAAGCAGGGCGGCGUCUACGUGAUGCUCGGCGGCGCGGGGCGCGUCGGCCGGGCGCUGACGCGGCGGCUCAUCGAGCGCUAUCGCGCGAACGUCGCGUGGAUCGGCCGCAGCCCGGCCGAUUCGGCGAGCGUCGCGCAUGCGCUGCGCGCGCUCGGCCCGGCGGGCCCCGCGCCGUAUUACGCGCAGGCCGACGCGACCGAUGCGGCGCGCGAUCGAAGCCGUCCGGCAGCGCCACGGCCGCAUCGACGGCGCGGUGUUCUGCGGGAUGGUGUUCGACGCGAACCACGCGAUCGCGAGCGUGCCGGCGCACCGGUUCGACGAGAUUCUGGACGUCAAGGCGCGCGGCAGCCGCAUCUUCUACGAGGCGCUCGCGCACGAGCCGCUCGAUUUUCUCUGCUACUGCUCGUCGGCGCAGUCGUUCUCGUUCUCGGGCGCGGCGCGGCUCGGCGCGUACGCGGCGGCGACGACGGCGGGCGACGCGAUCGUGCGCUCGAUCGCGCCCGUCGCCGCGUUUCCGGUCGGCACGAUCCACUGGGGGUUCUGGGAAACGUCGGUCGAGGAUUCCGCGCUCGGCUCGCGGCAUCUCGGCGCGCUGUCCGACGACGAGGGGUUCGCGUGCUUCGAGCGGUUCGUCGGCCAGUGCAUGCGCGGCAAUCCGCUGCGCGAGGUCGUCUGCAUGCGGGCGUCGCCGGAGGUCGAGCAUCUGAUGCAGGUGCUGCCGGGCGAAACCGCGACGCUCGCCGCGCCGGGGCAGCCCGCGCAGCCGGCGCCGCUUCGCGACGCGCCGGACGGCGCGGCCGACGUAUCGGCGGAUAUCGACGC